RNAcentral lists this transfer RNA (73 nucleotides) under bacterium. Its description in RNAcentral is "tRNA-Ala". It matches the Rfam family "tRNA". Rfam says of the family: Transfer RNA (tRNA) molecules are approximately 80 nucleotides in length. RNAcentral also lists the same sequence under 1 other name. The record is from RNAcentral.
GGGGGUGUAGCUCAGCUGGGAGAGCACCUGCUUUGCAAGCAGGGGGUCGACGGUUCGAAUCCGUUCACCUCCA